This is a long non-coding RNA of Lolium perenne, 1012 nucleotides long. RefSeq lists it as uncharacterized. Lineage: Eukaryota; Viridiplantae; Streptophyta; Magnoliopsida; Poales; Poaceae. The record is from RefSeq and is a predicted model, not a curated record.
CUCUGAAGGCAGCUCGAGCUUGGGUGCUCCUUUUAUCGAAUUCCUAUCAGACCAUCCGUUUCAUAAGCCUACGUCAUAACACGUCGUGUAUAAUUUUGUAUAGACAGCCUGAUGAAAUACAGAGCCUGGAUAGCCCCAACCACCUCAGUCGUAUGCAUCAUAGAACAUGGAGGUCGAAAAGCAGUCAGGCCCAUUCUAUUUCCUCUUCUCUCUCAACUCUAAUCCCGUGUCGAAGCGCAUCUCGAUCCCCACCGGCCACCGCCUCCGCUCUGGCCGGCCCCGCCGCAACUCCCCGACCUGUGGCGCUCCCGCGACUCCCCGACCGACGACGCCACCAGCCGCCGCCGCCCUGACGAGGUCGCGGUUGCUAUCGGCGUCUCCCUGCUAGGCCCUCUCCCCGCGGCCAGAGGAGCUCGUGGUUGUGCGCGUGAGGCUCGCUCGGUCCGUGCCCAUGGCUGUGGUGCGCGCCCCCACGUCGUCCGCAUCAGGUGCUAGCAGGGACGGAGCAGGUCGGCGCUGCUGUCUUGGAUAACCUGACCCCAUUCCAGUAGAGGCGAAUAAUGCUGAUCAACAUCACAGAAUGCAUCAUGGCAUGGAUUUCUCAUUUGAGCUGUCAUCUUGAGCCAUAAUUUGCGGUAGAUGUGGUGGCAGUAAUGAAUUACUCAAAUAUUGCAUCUAUCCCAAACCAAUUUGUCAAACAGGGGUUUACCGUAAACUCUUGCUGGCUGGAUAAUAUUGAUAACCACGGAUGAAUGAUAUUACACAAAGUAAUGAUGAUGCAAGGGAGCGCAUCCAGUUUUGCUGAAGAUCGCCUCCACGCUGCUAACAUUGAACUUACCAUGUUGGAUUAAGCAAUGCUGCCACACUUGUGUAGAUGCCCGAACAUGUAAAUUAUGUCUAAAUCCAUUAGUAGUACUAUAUCAAAACUCCAAGAUCCCCAGAGCCUGCAAUCUUUACGUUCACUGCUGGACAAUCUCAUCUAAAUCAAAGACAUCCCUGUUCAACUGUUUUA